AUGAGAGCAAGGUGGCCUAUGCCAUAUCAUCUCAGCAGACGGCGUCGCCAUGGACCCGGCCAAGGCGAAAGCGGCGGAGGCAUGACCAGAACCACGAAGUGUCCGCACCCUUCGUGGGUUCCUUGGGCUUGCUUGUUUUAUAGCAAGUUCAUCCAGGACUACGGCGUGCUCUCAGCUCCACUCACCAAACUCGUCAACAAAGAAGGCUUUGUGUGGUCCUCGGAGGCCGACACAGCCUUUUGCAUGCUCAAGCAAGCCCUCGCAGCAGCACCUGCCUUGCAGCUACCGGACUUUGACUCUCUGUUCUUGGUGGACUAUGAUGCAUCUGGCACGGGCUUUGGAGCCGUGCUGCACCGUAGGGCAGACCCCUACUUUCUUCAGCAGGGCGGUGGCACCAUGCCAUGCCAAGCUAGCAGUUUAUGA
Molecule: ribosomal RNA, 423 nt
Filed under: Triticum aestivum (bread wheat)
Lineage: Eukaryota; Viridiplantae; Streptophyta; Magnoliopsida; Poales; Poaceae
Description: partial small subunit ribosomal RNA
Source: RNAcentral